This 216-nucleotide ribosomal RNA is filed under the name Triticum aestivum (bread wheat). RNAcentral describes it as "partial small subunit ribosomal RNA". The record is from RNAcentral. Lineage: Eukaryota; Viridiplantae; Streptophyta; Magnoliopsida; Poales; Poaceae.
AUGCGGCGAGACCAACCUCGGGUGCUGGGCUCCGAGGAUCUCCUUCUGGCCGUACUUCCUCCAGCUGCGGCCGUCGUCGACCGGGGCGUCCGCCCCUUCUCCGGCCGAGCUCACCCUGAUCUGACGCCCCCCUUUCUCCGAAGUCUUCCUGCGAAUCCAAGAACAAACCAAUCACUCAAUAAUCCAGCAAAAAAAAGAAAGAAAUAUUAUGAUUGA